This 1692-nucleotide long non-coding RNA is filed under the name Camarhynchus parvulus. RNAcentral describes it as "lncRNA (ENSCPVG00000017243.1)". Lineage: Eukaryota; Metazoa; Chordata; Aves; Passeriformes; Thraupidae. The record is from RNAcentral.
AGCCCUUCACUGAUCUUCUACAUGAUCCAUAUUUAUAAUCAAAACUUUUUUUACCUUUCAUCUUUCUCAGAAAACGGAGGAGGUAACAUCAAUACUGAGGACCAGAAUGUUUGCUGUGAAGCAGAGGCAGAUGCCUGGCGACACAACCCUGACCUCAAGUGCUACAUUCAAAAGUCACAUUCAAAACACACUGCACUGCCAGUUACCAUUCCUGAUGGGGCCAGUUCCUUUGUGUGGUGCUUACGAGGCAGCUCAUGGCUUAGCACUCCUGCUUGCUUCACUUGGAUGCUCUGUUUUCUUCUGCUCUGCAGCUUCUAGGCAAGACAGAGAGGCUUCUGAUAGAGAAAGGCUCACACAUUCUUGAUAACCAUCUACAAGGGAGAAAACUGCUCUGCCAGCAGCGUCCUCCUCCUCUCUCAUGAUGUACAGCAACCAGCUGAACACAGACUGAUUUUCCAUGGGAACUGCUGCCCUUGUAAUCCCAAAUAGUCCUGUUUUCACAAAGGUACCUUCACCACAUCCACACCUUCCCCAAGCACUGUGACUCUUGUCCAGCUCCAGGCCCUUGUGAGCAGCACAGGCAGCACCAGGAGCCCCCAUCCUCCUCUCCUUGGCUUGGCUGCAGACAGCAGGCACCCCAGGGUGUGUGGCUGACUCAGCAGCACUGAAACCAGCUGAAUUCUCUCUGUGACAAAGUGGGAACAGCUCUGAAAUGCUUCCCAUGCCCUCUGCAUGGCUGUCACUUGGUAAUGCCACAGCACCACCCAGGUGUCUGUAUUGUUUGAAUUCCCAGGUAAUCUCUGCAUCUACCAAAGCCUUUUGCACCACAAGCUGGCUGGUAGGUUGAAGUGGAAGAAUUUGGAAGAGAUAUUUGAUUUUGCCCCCACCAGCAGGCUGAGGACAUGUCUGAGUGUUUGUUCCUGAGCAGGGCUGGGUGGGAGGCUGUGUCCAGCUCCCUCAGGAAUGGCAUUGGGUCACAGAGGCCUUGGUGUCCCCCAGGCUGAGCAGAACUCUGAUAUCAAUCUUCCUGACAAAUUAGGCAAGUUUAGACAGCAUGAGAUGAGUACAGCCCCUCAGGCAUCCCUUUGGGUACUUGGUAUCUUUAAAUCAUUCCCCAUUCCCACCUGAUUUGAAUAAAUCCUCAGCUUUUGCAUUGGAUCUAAUUUACUAUCAAGACUGUUGAGCAAAAAUCAGUGGCAGUACAAGGGGAGAAGCAAAUCCCUUAAGCAAUGUGAAUGUUUGCUGAAUCACUGUCCUUUUGCCACACAGCUAAGCACAAGCACACACAGAGUUCUUGGUUUAUUUCUGCUUUGAUUGACUCAAUUUUGUUUGUUGCUUGUUUUUUCCUCAAUGUGUCUUAACCAUCCAGUCAGUAGCAGAGUGAACCUUGCCAACAAACUCUGUUGUGCUGGUGCUUAAUAUCAAAUCUGGAUUUUACUGAUCCCCUUGCUGGUGAUGUUUUGAGAGAUCUCCAACACUUUGAACAGGUGAUUCCCAUUUGAUCCCUCUGUUCCUUGCUAUUCAUUGUACAAAUGUUUCUUGUUCAGUUCCUUUGGUUAUUGGGGUCAUUGGAGAGGUCUAAGGGUCUCAUUAUACAUUUGUAUACCUUUGUUUCUCACUGGAUUCACACUUUCUGCAGUCAUCUUUCAGAGAAUCUGUAUUAACCAGUUCCUUGAUGUUAUUAAAUUCUUC